This 253-nucleotide ribosomal RNA is filed under the name uncultured bacterium. Its description in RNAcentral is "partial 16S ribosomal RNA". It matches the Rfam family "Bacterial small subunit ribosomal RNA", at positions 524 to 776 of the family's 1533-position model. The record is from RNAcentral.
GACGUGGGGCGCGAGCGUUGUCCGGAUUUAUUGGGCGUAAAGAGCUCGUAGGCGGCUUGUCGCGUCGACUGUGAAAACCCGCGGCUUAACUGCGGGACUGCAGUCGAUACGGGCAGGCUAGAGUUCGGUAGGGGAGACUGGAAUUCCUGGUGUAGCGGUGAAAUGCGCAGAUAUCAGGAGGAACACCGGUGGCGAAGGCGGGUCUCUGGGCCGACACUGACGCUGAGGAGCGAAAGCGUGGGGAGCGAACAGG